This 460-nucleotide ribosomal RNA is filed under the name uncultured bacterium. RNAcentral's name for it is "SSU rRNA". It matches the Rfam family "Bacterial small subunit ribosomal RNA", at positions 26 to 518 of the family's 1533-position model. The record is from RNAcentral.
AGAAUCAACGCUGGCGGCGUGCCUAACACAUGCAAGUCGCACGAGAAAGGGUAGCAAUACCUGAGUAAAGUGGCGCACGGGUGAGUAACACGUGAAUUAUCUACCUCCGAGUGGGGAAUAACUGAGAGAAAUCUUAGCUAAUACCGCAUAACACUUACGAGUCAAAGCAGCAAUGCGCUUGGAGAGGAGUUCGCGGCCGAUUAGUUAGUUGGCGGGGUAAUGGCCCACCAAGACGAUGAUCGGUAUCCGGCCUGAGAGGGCGCACGGACACACUGGAACUGAAACACGGUCCAGACUCCUACGGGAGGCAGCAGUGGGGAAUUUUGCGCAAUGGGGGAAACCCUGACGCAGCAACGCCGCGUGGAGGAUGAAAUAUCUUGGUAUGUAAACUCCUUUCGAUGGGGAAGAUUAUGACGGUACCCAUAGAAGAAGCCCCGGCUAACUUCGUGCCAGCAGCCGC